UCGGAGCGGAGCGGCUGCCCUGCCGACCGCCGGAGCUGAGGGCCGCCUGGGUGAGGAGCUGCGCGCCAGCUCGGGCCGCUCGGUCAAACGUGCGCACGGGCUAGGAGUCGUGGGACUCGUCGGAACCUGCUCGACUCAGAAUGACUGAGAAGAGACUCUUGCUUCUGAUUGAGGUAGAAGAGAUGUAAUACAUAAUAUACCCACUGUGGACUAGGCUAAUGAGAAGGAGCACUGCAGCAGCUGAAAGGAUACUAUAUACUUACCAUUUGAGAUGACUGACUUUCGGGAUAGAGGUCAGCUCUGAUGUCCUAUCUAGUUUUUCAAAGUACUCUUGCUUAUUUUUAUUAUUAUUUUUUUUAAACACACAGGCUUAAAGCUAAGCUAGUUAAGGCCAUACAAUAAAUUAUUCCUUUGUCUUUAA
This is a non-coding RNA of Meleagris gallopavo (turkey), 421 nucleotides long. The record is from RefSeq and is a predicted model, not a curated record. Lineage: Eukaryota; Metazoa; Chordata; Aves; Galliformes; Phasianidae.